GGUAAAAGAAUGAGUAUGCGUUUUAUUACCUAGUAGGUAACGUACCGGCUUACCUAGGCAACGAUAGAUAGGGGGCCCUGAGAGGGGGAUCCCCCCACAAUGGUACUGAGACACGGACCAGACUCCUACGGGAGGCAGCAGUGAGGAAUAUUGGACAAUGGGCGCAAGCCUGAUCCAGCCAUGCCGCGUGCAGGAAGACUGCCCUAUGGGUUGUAAACUGCUUUUAUACAGGAAGAAACACCUCUACGUGUAGAGGUUUGACGGUACUGUAAGAAUAAGGAUCGGCUAACUCCGUGCCAGCAGCCGCGGUAAUACGGAGGAUCCAAGCGUUAUCCGGAAUCAUUGGGUUUAAAGGGUCCGUAGGUGGAUAAUUAAGUCAGAGGUGAAAUCCUGCAGCUCAACUGUAGAAUUGCCUUUGAUACUGGUUAUCUUGAGUUAUUAUGAAGUAGUUAGAAUAUGUAGUGUAGCGGUUAAAUGCAUAGAUAUUACAUACAAUACCAAUUGGGAAGGCCGAUUACUAAUAAUAUACUGACACUGAUGGAGGAAAGCGUGGGGAGCGAACAGGAUUAGAUAGCCUGGUAGUCCACGCCGUAAACGAU
This 599-nucleotide ribosomal RNA is filed under the name uncultured bacterium. RNAcentral describes it as "bacterial SSU rRNA". It matches the Rfam family "Bacterial small subunit ribosomal RNA", at positions 216 to 810 of the family's 1533-position model. The record is from RNAcentral.